This 2381-nucleotide long non-coding RNA is filed under the name Setaria italica (foxtail millet). Its description in RNAcentral is "long non-coding RNA (SITA_LNC005776)". Lineage: Eukaryota; Viridiplantae; Streptophyta; Magnoliopsida; Poales; Poaceae. The record is from RNAcentral.
UUAUUUCUUUGUAAAGCAUCUAGUAAACCUGUUUGUUGUCCAUCGAGGAAUUCUUUCAAGUUGUUUAUUAUGCACUUCUUAUGAUCCCAGAUGUUCUGAAGUUUCCAUUUCUUAAUUGUUUAGGUAGUUAGGCCUAGUGCUCAGUGUGUUUAACAUUCUAGCUCCAGAACUUCAUGCUGCUAUAAUCGAUAUAUCCUCGCUUCAUUGAGUCCUUGUGACUUUUGGAUCUCUAGGUGGAGAAUUGCAGUCUGCUUGCAGAGUUUCAUGAUGAAUUUUCAAGUUGUGCGGGACAUACAUGCCUAAAUUUAUUUCUAUGGAAUAGUUUCUGAAUCCAUCAUGCAUCGAGGGGUUCUUACUGAUGACAUGGCAUUUGCAAGGUUUAUAUUCAAAAGUGCUGCGGGCAUAAUGCAAGAUGGAGCUUUUAAUUUAUUAAGCUUUUGCGGCAUGUGGCACUGGCACGCAGAUGGCCUUUAAGGUUUAAUAGUUGAUUUGCCCCUGCCUUUAGGACAGAUAUUGCAGAGCGGCAUGUUGGAAUUUCUAAGGCUGCAGAACAGUUUGCUGUUCUUUGUGUGGUAAAAACUGCAAUAUGCGUAAAUGCUUGUGGCUCUUAGAACUUGGGACAUUUUUUUACACUAGGACGUAUUCAGAUGCAUUCGCAGGAACAGACAAUGUUCCAAUCCAGAGGAGCUGUACUAUAGUGUUUCGGCAAGUCUGUUGUGGUGGCUUCUGGAAUUCAUGGGCUUGUACAAGCUUGUUUGUAGCGUCCUAGUUGACCUGUUAUUAGCUCUUCAUUUUUUAGUAUUUCCUUCUGCUAGUCUUUUGUAAUCCUUAUAAUGAUGCAUGUACUUCCUCCGCCUCACGAAGAAUGCAAGUGAAGGACUCGAAAUUGGUCCAACAUAGAACGCAAUUGUUGCUUUUACAUCAGCUUAUGGGACCCAAUUAAUUGUGCUCUUUACUUUAAACUUCUCGAUUCACAAUUAAUUGUAGUAGGUUACAGAAACAUCAUAUUGUGACACCCGAUCUAAUUUAGUGGUCCAGUAGUGGCCUAUUAGCGUUAUAUGCGCAUGUGUUAGUACCACAUUGCAAAGGUUUAUAAGUUAGCUCUAUGCCUCUACCCUUACUCAACUACCAACAUGGUACUAAACAUACGCACAUACAACACUCAUGAGCCACUACUCGACCACCAAAUUGGAUCGGGUAUCACAUGCCUCCCAAAAAAAAAGAAUUUGGCUUUGGAGGACGACAUGUUACACAUCUACAUAUGCAUGUGAUCCAUUCCUAAUAGGGCUACCAAGUCAUUUUCCUUCGUCAUUAAUCCGUCUUAAGAUGCCUAGAAUUCCAUUGUUUAUGGGAACUAGGAAGUGUGGCUAUGAAGAAGAAGGGCCUAUAAUGCCGUACACCAACCUUGGAAACGGGGGAUGUUCCUAGAAGUAUGAUACUGUUUGCAAUAAGUGGAUUUUGUAUUGAUUAAAUCGUAUAUCCAUGGUAAAUAAUCAUAUCACACCAACUCCACAGGCAUAGAACCAUAUGAACGAAGCUGCAAACAGUUGGGAGCGAGAGUUCACCUGACGGGUACUGAGACUAGUAGAUGGCCUGCAAACUGGACGCUGCAAGUCAGGUUUCCAGUUCCAACUGUUUGGUCUUAAACCUGCCAAAAAAGAAGAUGUUUUAGCCAUGUAUAUUGUAUACUGCAAGUGGAAUAUGUUCAAAGACUAUUAGAGAAUUGAGCUUUAGUCCCAGUUGGUAGGGUUCAAAGGUCCCGAAAAUCCAUCCGAGAUUAAUUUUUUGAGACAAGGGAGUCCUUUAGUUUCAGAAAAAAAUAAAAAAAAGGCCACGUGGCCGGCCGGCCGCCACCCGCCUCGGCUCGUGCCCACACCCCCACCCGCCCGCCGCUUCACGCCUGUGCCUCCGCUUGCCCGCCGCUUGCCCGCCCGCGCCCGCGCCGCCUGCUGCUUGGCCUCCCGCGCCUCCGCUCGUUGCUGGGCCGCCCACGCCCGCGCUGCGCGCCGCCUCCGCUCGUCGCUCGGCCGCUCCCCCGCGCGCCAGCCCUGCCCUCGCCCCGCUGCCACUCCUCACUCCAUUUUUUAAUUGUUUAGGUAGUUAGGCCUAGUGCUCAGUGUGUUCAACAUUCUAGCUCCAGAACUUCAUGCUGCUAUAAUCGAUAUAUCCUCGCUUCAUUGAGUCCUUGUGACUUUUGGAUCUCUAGGUGGAGAAUUGCAGUCUGCUUGCAGAGUUUCAUGAUGAAUUUUCAAGUUGUGCGGGACAUACAUGCCUAAAUUUAUUUCUAUGGAAUAGUUUCUGAAUCCAUCAUGCAUCGAGGGGUUCUUACUGAUGACAUGGCAUUUGAAAGGUUUAUAUUCAAAAGUGCUGCGGGCAUAAUG